UGUCGGUGUAGAGCAGCCCGGUAGCUCGUCAGGCUCAUAACCUAAAGGACGUGAGUUCAAAUCUCACCACCGCAACCA
Molecule: transfer RNA, 78 nt
Filed under: Martinezella rhizogenes
Lineage: Bacteria; Pseudomonadati; Pseudomonadota; Alphaproteobacteria; Hyphomicrobiales; Rhizobiaceae
Description: tRNA-Met
Rfam family: tRNA
About the family: Transfer RNA (tRNA) molecules are approximately 80 nucleotides in length. Their secondary structure includes four short double-helical elements and three loops (D, anti-codon, and T loops).
Source: RNAcentral